RNAcentral lists this ribosomal RNA (446 nucleotides) under uncultured bacterium. Its description in RNAcentral is "bacterial SSU rRNA". It matches the Rfam family "Bacterial small subunit ribosomal RNA", at positions 227 to 695 of the family's 1533-position model. The record is from RNAcentral.
GAGCCCGCGUCCCAUUAGCUUGUUGGUGGGGUAAUGGUCUACCAAGGCAACGAUGGGUAGCUGGUCUGAAAGGAUGAUCAGCCACACUGGAACUGACACACGGUCCAGACUCCUACGGGAGGCAGCAGUGAGGAAUUUUGCGCAAUGGGGGAAACCCUGACGCAGCAACGCCGCGUGAGUGAUGAAGGCUUUCGGGUCGUAAAGCUCUGUCAAGUGGGAAGUGACGGUACCACUAAAGGAAGCACCGGCUAACUCCGUGCCAGCAGCCGCGGUAAUACGGGGGGUGCAAGCGUUAUUCGGAUUUACUGGGCGUAAAGCGCGCGUAGGCGGCCGUUUAAGUCAGAUGUGAAAGCCCGGGGCUCAACCCUGGAAGUGCAUUUGAUACUAUUCGGCUUGAGUAUGGGAGAGGGAAGUGGAAUUCCUGGUGUAGAGGUGAAAUUGUAGAU